UACAGAGGGGGCAAGCGUUGUUCGGAAUUACUGGGCGUAAAGGGCGCGUAGGCGGCCUGUUAAGUCGAACGUGAAAUCCCCGGGCUCAACCCGGGAACUGCGUCCGAUACUGGCAGGCUUGAAUCCGGGAGAGGGAUGCGGAAUUCCAGGUGUAGCGGUGAAAUGCGUAGAUAUCAGGAGGAACACCAAUGGCGAAGGCAGCUCACUGGGACGGUAUUGACGCUGAGACGCGAAAGCGUGGGGAGCAAACAGG
Molecule: ribosomal RNA, 253 nt
Filed under: uncultured bacterium
Lineage: Bacteria
Description: partial 16S ribosomal RNA
Rfam family: Bacterial small subunit ribosomal RNA
Source: RNAcentral